AGGUCCUACGGGGGGCAGCAGUGAGGAAUAUUGGUCAAUGGGCGAGAGCCUGAACCAGCCAAGUCGCGUGAGGGAAGACGGUCCUAUGGAUUGUAAACCUCUUUUGCCGGGGAGCAAAAAGCGGUACGUGUACCGCAUCGAGAGUACCCGGAGAAAAAGCAUCGGCUAACUCCGUGCCAGCGGCCGCGGUAAUACGGAGGAUGCGAGCGUUAUCCGGAUUUAUUGGGUUUAAAGGGUGCGUAGGCGGUAUUUUAAGUUAGUGGUAAAACGUCGGGGCUUCACCUUGAUUGGCCAUUACAACUGGG
RNAcentral lists this ribosomal RNA (305 nucleotides) under uncultured bacterium. RNAcentral describes it as "bacterial SSU rRNA". It matches the Rfam family "Bacterial small subunit ribosomal RNA", at positions 334 to 637 of the family's 1533-position model. The record is from RNAcentral.